AGGACUUUGUGGCCCUCUCUCCAGUCUGGAGACCAGAAGGCCAGGAAGGGAGGCCAGGCAUGGUGGCUUAUGCUUGUAAUUUCAGCACUUUGGGAGGCCAAGGUGGGAGCAUCUCUUGAGCUCAGGAGUUCCAAACUAGCCUGGGCAACAUGGCGAGACCCCAUCUCUACAAAAAAUAAAAAAAUUAGCUGGGUGGUGGCACAUACCUAUAAUCCCAGCUACUUGGGAGGCUGAGGUGGGAGGAUUGCUUGAACCCAGGGGUUCAAGGCUGCAGUGAGCUAUGAUCGUGCCACUGCACUCAAGCCUGGGUGACAGAGACCCUGCCUCUACAAAAAAAAAGAAAGUUAGCUAGGUGCCUGUAGUGCCUGUAAUCCCAGCACUUUGGGAGGCCAAGGUGGGAGGAUCGCCUGAGCCCAGGAGUUCAGUGCUACAGUGAGCUAUGAAGACGCCACCAUACCCCAGCCUGGGCAACAAAGUGAGACCCCAUCUCUAAAAAAGGAAAAAAAAAAAAAAAGAAAGAAACAAAAGAAAGAACAGGAAGGAUCUAAUUCCACUGGAUCAGCAUGAAAGCGGCGUGUGCCUAUGUAUGUCCAUUUCGCUUUCUCUGUCCUGCUCUGACCCAGCAGAUUGGCCUCCAGGGACUGCACCACUGAGACCCCACACUCUCUUGCUUCUCGUGAGGUGUGGCCAGUGGAGGCACUGGCAUGAGAUCAGGGGGCGGGAAGACAGAGCCCAGUUCCCUCUGGUGGCUUCAUCCUUUCACUUACAGCCCCUGCUCCUGCGGGGCCCCUCACCCAUGGCUACUGCCUGCUGAUCAGGAAACAUCACUCCCUCCCUCCCAUCAGCAAUCAGAUCCAGGAGUGCUUAGGCCCCAUUACAGCCAAGUCCCAGGUCACCCUCUCUGGUCCAUUCCCCUAAUGCUGCCCACACCUUUGUAAACGCUCUCAAUUGCCCUGUGAGACAGCGUACCAUCUGUUUCCUGCCAGGGCCCGACGCAUACAGGGUGUGGGCAAGGGUUUGUGAAAUGCAGGGUCUUAGAGUUCACCCAGUUCACCUUCCCUUUUAAAAAUGUUUCACUUUAGAGACAGGCUCUUGCUCUGUCACAGAGGCUGGUGUCCAGGGGUGCCAUCAUAGCUCACUGCAGCCUCCAACUCCUGGGCUCAAGCGAUCCUCCCACCUCAGCCUCCAUAGUAGCUGGGACUGCAGGUUCACACUACCAUGUCUGGCUAAUUUUUCUUUUGUUUUGUUUUGAGACAGUCUUGUUCUCUUUCACCCAGUUCACCUUCCCUUUUAAAAAUGUUUCACUUUAGAGACAGGCUCUUGCUCUGUCACAGAGGCUGGUGUCCAGGGGUGCCAUCAUAGCUCACUGCAGCCUCCAACUCCUGGGCUCAAGCGAUCCUCCCACCUCAGCCUCCAUAGUAGCUGGGACUGCAGGUUCACACUACCAUGUCUGGCUAAUUUUUCUUUUGUUUUGUUUUGAGACAGUCUUGUUCUCUGUCACCCAGGCUGGAGUGCAGUGGCAUGAUCUGGGCUCACUGAAACCUCCUUCACCUGGGUUCAAGUGAUUCUCCUGCCUCAGCCUCCACAGUAGCAGGGAUUACAGGCAUGCACCACCAUGGCUGGCUAAUUUUUGUAUUUUGUAUAGAGACGGGUUUUCACCAUGUUGGCCAGGUUGGUCUCAAACUCCUGACCUCAGGUGAUCCUCCUGCUUCUGCCUCCCAAAAUGCUGGGAUUCCAAGUGUGAGCCACCACGCCUGGCCUUAACCACCAUGCCCGGCCUUAAUUUUUGUAUUUAUGUUUUGUAGAGAUGGGGUGUUGCUAUGUUGCCCAGGCUGGACUUGAACUCUUGGUCUCAAGCAAUCCUCCCACCUCGGCCUCCCAAAGCACUAGGAUUAGAGGUGUGAGCCAUCUGCACCUGGCCUAACCAUUGCUUUUUAUGUAAGGGGAAACUGAGGCCCAGAGAGUGUGAGUGAUCUGUCUUGGGUCACUCAGCCCCAGGGUUGGGGCUCAUAGCUGUUCUGAAAAGGUUCUGGAGAGGCCAGGGCUUAUCUCACAGAGGUUGGCAGCCUGUCUGCCCCAUCCCCUGCCUGCCUCUCCCAGCCUGGUAGCUUCAAGAUCAUUUGAGCAUUUCCUCCACAGCAGGAGCCGGAUGCAUCUGCUCCACCUAAUAACCCCAUUAGGGCCAUUUGCGCCUCUCAGGGGCAGGCGCCUGGGAACCCAGCCAGCGCCCUCCUCCCUGACCUCUUGCCCCAGAGGGCAGGGCCCCUCCACAUGGCACAGGGUGUCUUCCGGUCUCCUCUCCAUCCCUCACCCUCCCCUACCUGCCCAUCAGCAACACAUUGCUCCUCCUGCCUGGCACCCUUCCAAGGUCCACCUGGCCCAAGUGUCCUGCUCCUUCUUCAAAGCCACCCCUCCCCAAGAUGCUGCCUCUGAAGCUCCAACAGUCCAUCUCCCUGACAGUUGUGUCCUCUCCUUCUCUCGUAUGUGGUAGUAUCACUGUCUUCCCCCUAAAGCAGUGGGCACCUUGAGGGCAGAACCUUGCCGCGGGCAUCUCUGGCCCCUGGGGUCCGAGCACUGAGCGGGAAUCCUGAUGAUAAGUGUUGCAUGAGCUGGGCACAGUGGCUCACGCCUGUAAUCCCAGCAGGAGGAUCACUUGAGACCAGGAGUUCGAGACCAGCCUGAGCAACAUAGUGAGACCCCGUCUCUAAAGAAAUUUAAAAAAUUAGCCAGACAUAGUGCCAUGUACCUAUAGUCCAAGCUACUUAGGAGGCUGAGGCGGAAGGAUCGCUUGCACCCAGGAGUUUGAGGCUGCAAUGAGCUAUGAUCACACCACUGUUCUUUCCAGCCUGGGCAACAGAGUGAGAUUCCAUGUCUACAAAAAAAUUAAAAAUUAGCCGGACGUGGUGUCAUGUGCCUGUAGUCCCAGCUACUCUCAGGAGGCUGAGGUGGGAGGAUCACCGGAGCCCAGGAAUUAGAGACUGCAGUGAGCUAUGAUGGUGCCACUGCACUCCAGCCUGGGCUAUAAG
RNAcentral lists this long non-coding RNA (3026 nucleotides) under Homo sapiens (human). Its description in RNAcentral is "PREDICTED lncRNA (TCONS_00239302)". The record is from RNAcentral. Lineage: Eukaryota; Metazoa; Chordata; Mammalia; Primates; Hominidae.